Molecule: long non-coding RNA, 2331 nt
Organism: Peromyscus eremicus (cactus mouse)
Lineage: Eukaryota; Metazoa; Chordata; Mammalia; Rodentia; Cricetidae
Exons: 3
Source: RefSeq, a predicted model, not a curated record
UCUGUGCCCUUCAGUUUCAAGGUCCAGGAGCAUUUUAGAGGCAUCUAUUUCUCUGUUUUGAUUUUCGUUUUCAUUUUGUUUUGGUUUUCAGACAGGGUCUCAUGUAGUUCAGUCUGACCUCAAGUUCACUCUCCAGCCAAGGAUGACUUUGGAUUUGUGAUCUUCUUGCCCCUCUUCCCAAGCGCUGGGAUUACGGGCAUGUGUCAUCACGUCAGUUUUAUGUCGUGUUUGGGGAUGAAACCCAGAACCUCAGGAACUCAGUCAAAACAAUACUAAAGCUGGCCCAGAGUGUGCCCUGUGGACCAUGGAAAAAAUUGAACCCCCCUCUGACUACACACAAGGAGAGCCUGGAGCUCAAAGAUAAAGACCCGCAGCCAACCCGCCCCAAACUGGCUGCAGUUGGACCCAGUUUGAGAAGAGAAUGGCCCUCUUCUCUCUGAGCUGCCACCUGCUCUUUUCAUCAGUGAUUUCGUUCUGUGGUCAGAGUCACAUGACACUGAGCUAAAUCUCCUCCUCCCAUCGUGAGAGGCAGGGCUCCUCCUGACUUGAGGCUGGACAAGACAUGCUUUGUGAUGGACAAGCCCAAUUGUCAAUUUGUUGGAUCUGGAAUCAGCUAUUCUGUUGUUGCUGUUGCUGGUGAUGCCACCUCCAUCCGUCAGUACCAUCAGAACCCAAAACCUCAUAGGCCUUCACCUGCAUUGAAGACAAGACCUCCAGUGCCAGAUCGGGACUGCUGGGAUAUCCAGCUUCAUGGACCAGACAGCUUCUAGGCUCUCAUCCUCUCCAGCAUGCAGAAAGCCAUUGUUGGACUUCAGACUCAAAGUAAAACUAAGCCAUCUGCUUUCCUGGAUCUCCUGCUGAAGAACUUAGUCUGUACAUCAUGAGACUUGCUGUCUCCAUGAGUGAGUGAGCCAGUUCCAUUUGCCAUAUUAAUCUUUCCCCCUGUAUAGAUUGACAGAUUAAAUAGGUGGGUGAAUAAAUAGGUAGAUAAUCGAUAGAUAGAUAGAUAGAUAGAUAGAUAGAUAGAUAGAUAGAUAGAUAAUAGACUCUGAAGAUUAUUGGUGUAUAUAUACAGAUGACAGAUGAUAGAUAGAUAGAUAGAUAGAUAGAUAGAUAGAUAGAUAGAUAGAUAGAUAGAUACCAGUUUCCUGGAGCUCCCUGACUGAUAUACACCCCUGAAGUUGGUAGAAUAUUUAACAGUUGCAGAGUUCAUCCACCCACAUUAAUUCUACUGCAGACUGUUCCUCCCUCCCCUCACCCCUGUGAUUCCUGACUCCUACAACACAAGGCAGCAGCCAGACCUAAGCUGGAGUACUGGUUUCACAAACAGCUCUAUGGCCUUGGCAAGUUAGCUGUCCUUGCUGGGCCUCAGUGUCCCCACUGUGAGAUGAAAAGAGCCCCCUAGGGAAGAUCAUUGAUAACUCAUUAGACAACACACCAAGUGUCAUCCACAGUACCUGGCACUACACUCAGCAAAACCCAGCUUCUCACAAUUGUGCUUAGGCACGGGUGUGGGGAGGCUGCAAAGAAACCAUAUUCUGAAGAACUUCCCUUGUCAGAAAAGACUCUGGGAGGAGCCUGAAGGCUUGCAAAGGGACAGCACAAGCUGGCUCUGACCACUCAGGGCCCCCAGCUGAGUUAUGCUGUGUUGGCCCUCACCGGUAUAACAAAAGCAUAAGAUCUCAGAAUAAACAGAGCGUUGCUCUCCUCAUCCUCGCCCGGGACUUGCAUUGCGGGGAUUUUCUUUUGAGGAAACUAAUAGAGACAAAAGAAUAGUGGAAAUCAGUAGUCUUGGGGAAGAGCUCGUCCAUCCUUUUGCAGCCCCCUAUACCCACCCUGAGCUCAGCUCCUCCCAGGUGAUGCUGAGUAGGUAAGGAGUUAGGCACGAUGCAACCAAGGAAAACUGUGUGUGUCUUGGUAGCUGUGUGCCUAAUGGUCAAGAUUGCCUUUGUGGUUAAAUACCCAUGGAGUUGAAGCUAGGUUGUUCUCACUAUAGCGUAAGGUGCCAGGGGACUUUCUCACCCUGUAUCCGCAAAAGACCCUGACUUCAUUAUCCAAUAGACUGUGGUUUUGACAUCCCUCAUGGGCUUUUCCAAAGCAUCAUGAGAAGAAAUACUCUUUUUCAAAGGAGAUCUGGCCCACCAUGACUUGGGAGGAAAAAGGGGUCACACUGCCCUGUGAAUAAGGUACCCACUUCCUGAACAGUCAUAACUACUUCUUGAAAUUUCAUAAUACAAAGUCCAACUUGGCUGCUUUCCUCCUCUCCAGGACAGCACCUUCCAGCCUGUCUCUGAAGUACAUUCUGCUAAAUAAAUGUCUGUUUAAACUGUG